This 497-nucleotide ribosomal RNA is filed under the name uncultured bacterium. RNAcentral's name for it is "partial 16S ribosomal RNA". It matches the Rfam family "Bacterial small subunit ribosomal RNA", at positions 28 to 507 of the family's 1533-position model. The record is from RNAcentral.
GAUGAACGCUGGCGGCGUGCCUAAUACAUGCAAGUCGAGCGAACAGACGAGGAGCUUGCUCCUCUGACGUUAGCGGCGGACGGGUGAGUAACACGUGGAUAACCUACCUAUAAGACUGGGAUAACUUCGGGAAACCGGAGCUAAUACCGGAUAAUAUAUUGAACCGCAUGGUUCAAUAGUGAAAGACGGUUGUGGUGGCACGUAUAGAUGGAUCCGCGCCGCAUUAGCUAGUUGGUAAGGUAACGGCUUACCAAGGCAACGAUGCGUAGCCGACCUGAGAGGGUGAUCGGCCACACUGGAACUGAGACACGGUCCAGACUCCUACGGGAGGCAGCAGUAGGGAAUCUUCCGCAAUGGGCGAAAGCCUGACGGAGCAACGCCGCGUGAGUGAUGAAGGUCUUCGGAUCGUAAAACUCUGUUAUUAGGGAAGAACAAAUGUGUAAGUAACUAUGCACGUCUUGACGGUACCUAAUCAGAAAGCCACGGCUAACUACGUG